This 253-nucleotide ribosomal RNA is filed under the name uncultured bacterium. RNAcentral describes it as "partial 16S ribosomal RNA". It matches the Rfam family "Bacterial small subunit ribosomal RNA", at positions 524 to 776 of the family's 1533-position model. The record is from RNAcentral.
UACGUAGGGGCCGAGCGUUGUCCGGAGUUAUUGGGCGUAAAGCGCGCGCAGGCGGCUUCGCGCGUCCGACGUGAAAGCCCCCGGCUUAACCGGGGAGGGUCGUUGGGUACGGCGGAGCUUGAGGGCGGGAGAGGGUGGUGGAAUUCCCGGUGUAGUGGUGAAAUGCGUAGAGAUCGGGAGGAACACCAGUGGCGAAGGCGACUACCUGGCCUGUUCUUGACGCUGAGGCGCGAAAGCUAGGGGAGCAAACGGG